CGAGAAAUCGGCAAUCGACCUCAUAUAAUAUUGGGAAUAUGGCCCAAAAGUUUCUACCGGAUCACCACUGUAAUGAUCUGACUAUGAGUGAAGCAUGUAUUUGG
RNAcentral lists this non-coding RNA (104 nucleotides) under Paenibacillus sp. Its description in RNAcentral is "Guanine sequence". It matches the Rfam family "Purine riboswitch aptamer". Rfam says of the family: Riboswitches are metabolite binding domains within certain messenger RNAs that serve as precision sensors for their corresponding targets. The record is from RNAcentral. RNAcentral also lists the same sequence under 1 other name. Lineage: Bacteria; Bacillati; Bacillota; Bacilli; Caryophanales; Paenibacillaceae.